UCUAAGCCAUGCGAGUCAUUGUAGCAAUACAAGGCAGACGGCUCAGUAACGCGUAGUCAAUCUACCCUAUGGACGGGAAUAACCUCGGGAAACUGAGAAUAAUGCCCGAUAGAACAUUAUGCCUGGAAUGGUUUAUGUUUCAAAUGAUUUAUCGCCAUAGGAUGGGACUGCGGCCUAUCAGUUUGUUGGUGAGGUAAUGGCCCACCAAGACUAUUACAGGUACGGGCUCUGAGAGGAGUAGCCCGGAGAUGGGUACUGAGACACGGACCCAGGCCCUAUGGGGCGCAGCAGGCGAGAAAACUUUGCAAUGUGCGAAAGCACGACAAGGUUAAUCCGAGUGGUUUCUGCUAAAGAAACCUUUUGUCAGUCCUAGAAACACUGACGAAUAAGGGGUGGGCAAGUUCUGGUGUCAGCCGCCGCGGUAAAACCAGCACCUCAAGUGGUCAGGAUGAUUAUUGGGCCUAAAGCAUCCGUAGCUCGUUUUGUAAGUUUUCGGUUAAAUCCAUGCGCUUAACGUAUGGGCUGCCGGGAAUACUGCAUAACUAGGAAGUGGGAGAGGUAGACGGUACUCGGUAGGAAGGGGUAAAAUCCUUUGAUCUAUUGAUGACCACCUGUGGCGAAGGCGGUCUACCAGAACACGUUCGACGGUGAGGGAUGAAAGCUGGGGGAGCAAACCGGAUUAGAUACCCGGGUAGUCCCAGCUGUAAACUAUGCAAACUCAGUGAUGCAUUGGCUUGUGGCCAAUGCAGUGCUGCAGGGAAGCCGUUAAGUUUGCCGCCUGGGAAGUACGUACGCAAGUAUGAAACUUAAAGGAAUUGGCGGGGGAGCACCACAAGGGGUGAAGCCUGCGGUUCAAUUGGAGUCAACGCCAGAAAUCUUACCCGGAGAGACAGCAGAAUGAAGGUCAAGCUGAAGACUUUACCAGACAAGCUGAGAGGUGGUGCAUGGCC
RNAcentral lists this ribosomal RNA (950 nucleotides) under uncultured archaeon. Its description in RNAcentral is "bacterial SSU rRNA". It matches the Rfam family "Archaeal small subunit ribosomal RNA", at positions 43 to 999 of the family's 1478-position model. The record is from RNAcentral.